UUGUGUGAAUACAUAGCACAUUCGAGGUAGACGCAGAGAACUGAAACAUCUAAGUACCUGCAGGAAGAGAAAGAAAAUUCGAUUCCCUGAGUAGCGGCGAGCGAAACGGGAAAAGCCCAAACCAGCAAGCUUGCUUGUUGGGGUUGUAGGACUCCAAUAUGGUAGUUCUUUCAGAUAGUCGAAUGACUUGGAAAAGUCAGUCAAAGAGGGUAAAAACCCCGUAGACGAAAUGUGGAAGACACCUAGGAGGAUCCUGAGUACGGCGGAACACGAGAAAUUCCGUCGGAAUCCGGGAGGACCAUCUCCCAAGGCUAAAUACUCCCUAGUGACCGAUAGUGAACCAGUACCGUGAGGGAAAGGUGAAAAGCACCCCGGAAGGGGAGUGAAAUAGAACCUGAAACCGUGUGCCUACAACAAGUCAAAGCCCGUUAAUGGGUGAUGGCGUGCCUUUUGUAGAAUGAACCGGCGAGUUACGAUUGCAUGCGAGGUUAAGUUGAAGAGACGGAGCCGCAGCGAAAGCGAGUCUGAAUAGGGCGUUUGAGUAUGUAGUCGUAGACCCGAAACCAUGUGAUCUACCCAUGUCCAGGUUGAAGGUGCGGUAAAACGCACUGGAGGACCGAACCCACGUACGUUGAAAAGUGCGGGGAUGAGGUGUGGGUAGCGGAGAAAUUCCAAACGAACUUGGAGAUAGCUGGUUCUCUCCGAAAUAGCUUUAGGGCUAGCCUCGGAAUUGAGAAUGAUGGAGGUAGAGCACUGUUUGGACUAGGGGCCCAUCUCGGGUUACCGAAUUCAGAUAAACUCCGAAUGCCAUUCAUUCAUAUCCGGGAGUCAGACUGUGAGUGAUAAGAUCCAUAGUCGAAAGGGAAACAGCCCAGACCACCAGCUAAGGUCCCAAAAUAUAUGUUAAGUGGAAAAGGAUGUGGGGUUGCACAGACAACUAGGAUGUUGGCUUAGAAGCAGCCACCAUUUAAAGAGUGCGU
This 980-nucleotide ribosomal RNA is filed under the name Enterococcus faecium. Its description in RNAcentral is "partial 23S ribosomal RNA". It matches the Rfam family "Bacterial large subunit ribosomal RNA", at positions 154 to 1135 of the family's 2925-position model. The record is from RNAcentral. Lineage: Bacteria; Bacillati; Bacillota; Bacilli; Lactobacillales; Enterococcaceae.